RNAcentral lists this small nucleolar RNA (54 nucleotides) under Methanothrix harundinacea 6Ac. Its description in RNAcentral is "Methanosaeta harundinacea 6Ac Small nucleolar RNA sR41". It matches the Rfam family "Small nucleolar RNA sR41". The record is from Rfam by way of RNAcentral. Lineage: Archaea; Methanobacteriati; Methanobacteriota; Methanomicrobia; Methanotrichales; Methanotrichaceae.
GCCGAUGAAGAGAAGAGUUCGCUGAUCCGAUGAUGAGCCCUAUGAGUCCUGAGG